UCCCAAGUGGCUCAAAAGGUAAAGAAUCUGCCUGCAAUGCAGGAGACCUGGGUUUGAUCCCUGGAUUGGAAA
This is a transfer RNA of Ovis aries (sheep), 72 nucleotides long. It matches the Rfam family "tRNA". Rfam says of the family: Transfer RNA (tRNA) molecules are approximately 80 nucleotides in length. NCBI's taxonomy places the organism in Eukaryota, Metazoa, Chordata, Mammalia, Artiodactyla, Bovidae. The record is from Rfam.